UUACGGGAGGCAGCAGUAGGGAAUUUUGCGCAAUGGACGAAAGUCUGACGCAGCAAUGCCGUGUGAGGGAUGAAGCAUUUUGGUGUGUAAACCUCUGUCGAUGAUGAAUAAAGCAUUGGGGAGUGGAAAGCCCCGGUGUUGAAGGUAAUCAUGAAGGAAGCACCGGCUAACUCUGUGCCAGCAGCCGCGGUAAU
This 194-nucleotide ribosomal RNA is filed under the name uncultured bacterium. RNAcentral describes it as "partial 16S ribosomal RNA". It matches the Rfam family "Bacterial small subunit ribosomal RNA", at positions 339 to 524 of the family's 1533-position model. The record is from RNAcentral.